Molecule: ribosomal RNA, 254 nt
Filed under: uncultured bacterium
Lineage: Bacteria
Description: partial 16S ribosomal RNA
Rfam family: Bacterial small subunit ribosomal RNA
Source: RNAcentral
UACGUAGGCAGCAAGCGUUGUUCGGAAUUACUGGGCGUAAAGAGUGUGUAGGCGGUGCUCUAAGUUUGGUGUGAAAUCUCCCGGCUCAACUGGGAGGGUGCGCCGAAAACUGGAAUGCUUGAACAUGGGAGAGGAAAGCGGAAUUCCUGGUGUGAGCGGUGAAAUGCGUAGAUAUCAGGAGGAACACCUGCGGUGUAGACGGCUUUCUGGACCAUUGUUGACGCUGAGACACGAAAGCGUGGGUAGCAAACAGG